This 500-nucleotide ribosomal RNA is filed under the name uncultured bacterium. RNAcentral describes it as "bacterial SSU rRNA". It matches the Rfam family "Bacterial small subunit ribosomal RNA", at positions 228 to 743 of the family's 1533-position model. The record is from RNAcentral.
GACCCGCGUCCCAUUAGCUAGUUGGUGAGAUAACAGCUCACCAAGGCCACGAUGGGUAACCGGUCUGAGAGGGCGAACGGUCACACUGGAACUGAGACACGGUCCAGACUCCUACGGGAGGCAGCAGUGGGGAAUAUUGCGCAAUGGGGGCAACCCUGACGCAGCAAUACCGCGUGAGUGAAGAAGGUUUUCGGAUCGUAAAGCUCUGUUAUUGGGGAAGAAAAAAAGACGGUACCCAAGAAGAAAGUUCCGGCUAACUACGUGCCAGCAGCCGCGGUAAUACGUAGGGAACAAGCGUUGUCCGGAUUUACUGGGCGUAAAGGGCACGCAGGCGGUUUUUUAAGUCAGAUGUGAAAGGCCACAGCUCAACUGUGGACAUGCAUUUGAAACUGAAAGACUUGAGUAUUGGAGAGGCAAGUGGAAUUCCUAGUGUAGCGGUGAAAUGCGUAGAUAUUAGGAGGAACACCGGUGGCGAAGGCGGCUUGCUGGACAAAUACUGA